Molecule: long non-coding RNA, 1561 nt
Filed under: Oncorhynchus mykiss (rainbow trout)
Lineage: Eukaryota; Metazoa; Chordata; Actinopteri; Salmoniformes; Salmonidae
Description: lncRNA (ENSOMYG00000063013.1)
Source: RNAcentral
AUGGAGAUCCUCCUCUUCAUCAGUCUCCUGGUGCCCCUGUGGGUGAUGUGGGGGGAAGUUAGGGCGGCGGUCCACAGGCCCAGCUGCUCAUCAUCACUGGAGUCUCUGGAACAUACAGGUUGUGAGUGUCUGGAGGAAUCUGGUCCCCUCUCUGUCUGCCCUGCUCCUGGCUACAGACCUCAGCAGGGCUUUACCUAGAGACUUACGCUGGCUCUGGAUCCUCCUGUGGAGGAGAUGCACCCGCUUCUGCCCCACAGAGGAACGAGAAACACCAUUACCUGCUCUGUGUUAUGUUAAAAGUGUCUGGAUCUGGAAAAGGUGCUGGACAAAUAUAAUUCAUCUGCAGCCUGGCCCAGUUGAUAAUCUAUAGAAUUUCCUGAUCAUGCUUGUCAAUCUCAGAGAGGAAAUUAGAUUGUCACCAGGGCAAGACAAUAAAUACCCAUCGGCUGACAAUAGACAAAUACAGGUAAUUGCCAAAAUAAAGUAAACACUUGAGUAAAUGAGGGAAACAAAAUAUAUUGAAAGCAGGUGCUUCCACAGAGGUGUGGUUCCUGAAUUAAUUAAUUAAUUAAUUAAUAAAUGCCCAGUUGCCCAUUCUUUUGGCUAACAUGGCUAGAAGAAGAGUUCUCAGUGACUUUGAAAGAGGGGUCUCAAAGCAGUAUAAGGGUUUAAAGGGUGUGUGUAUGUCUCAGUCACCAGAUCUCAAUUCUCAUUCCAAUUGAACACUUAUGGGAGAUUCUGUAGUGGCGCAUGUUUACGGCGCCCUGUUUACAUCGUGAAGUAUUUCAUUACACCGUGCGUCAUCUUCACGGAGUCUUGCCCCGCUGCUGAACGGACAAGUGUAGUGUUUGCAAUGCAAGAUGGAGGAGAGCCUGUCUCUCAUCAGAGAUUGCACAUAUUUAGUGCAAUUACAAAAUGUGACCUUUUCAUUCAAGACAGGAUAAAUAUAUUGUUACAGGUGAUAAUAAAACAUGUUUUGUUGAGUUACUUUUUCCUCAACUUGUUUCUAUAACUUUAUAGCAAGUCAAGCUAGAUUCCACUGCAGAACAGCUAGCUAAAAGCUAGGGCUAGGUUGACGAUACCAUUGUAGCUAGCGACCUCCACCUAAUAAUUAUCAUCAAAAACAAACGUUAUUACCAUCACAAUAAACUUAAAAAGGGAGGCAACAGUCAUAUAGUAGAAUUGGCUUAACAGCCUAUGUGUAUUAUUUAACAUAGCUAUUAAAAUACUAUUAACUUAUAGGAAGUUGUUAGCUAUCCCAUAAAGCCAUUACCGAAAACAACAUAUUAUCUUCUGUGGUCUGGCAACUUCCUGUUCUUCGACAAAAUGUGAAAAAUGUAAAAGUAUGCAAAAAUUUCAAAGUGUGCGUUUUCCGUCCUGCAACGGAGCCUUCAACCGCAAGGGGGCAUUGCAUUUGCACUCCGUUGAGGACUUCCCUAUUGAAAUGCAUGACAUCCGGUGUGAACGAGGUUUAAGACAGCGUUUUUCCACCACGCUUAAUCUUAGGGAUUAGGCAUCCCGCUAGUGGUACACCAGUCGACAACAUCCGGAGAAAUUGGAG